CGCGGAGAUUAAAAUAAAGUGGUCGGACCUCAAGGUGGAGGUCAAGCGGCGUACAGCUGCCCUCCGGAGGAGUACCGGCCAGACAGGUGGGGUUCCGGGGGAGGAGACCCUCACGCCGUUUGAGCAGCGGGUGGUGGCGAUUAUUAUUAUAGGGUAAGUGGCGUGUCACACAAAUGUCCACAUGCUUUGCCAUCCCACUGUGCAAAAGACGUAUAUUAGACGUCUAGUCUAAGUUUAUACUUCAUUUCAACGUCGGGAUUCAGUCUAUUUUUAGACGUGAUUUAUACUUCGCCCUUUACUUCAUUUUUCGAUAACUUUUUAUGCAAUAAACAACUGUAAUGUGCAUAACUGACCUCUAAAUACUGGAUUACAUUACCUAUGAUACCGUGGAGAGAAAUGUAAACGCAACAGAUACACAGAAGCAGGAAUUGAAAUGAACCAAUAUUUUUAUUGUGUCACAGAAAUCAAUGUGUCGGCCGUGUCGCCGGCUUGCGGAACCCCGGCCCGCGGCAGCCCGUCCGCCGGCUCGGAGUCGUCGGCCAGGACCAGCGGCAUUCGGGCCACCCCGGACCCCGGCCCCAGCACCAGCACCAGCACCAGCAUCAGCAUCAGCGCGCCGACAAGCGCUUCCGCUGGACCACCCGGACGCAGUGGGAGGGUCCUCGUGGAGGGGGUCCUGCAAUCGCAGGAAGAAAUCA
Xyrichtys novacula (pearly razorfish) is the source of this 698-nucleotide non-coding RNA. The record is from the annotation of a GenBank genome assembly. NCBI's taxonomy places the organism in Eukaryota, Metazoa, Chordata, Actinopteri, Labriformes, Labridae.